Molecule: non-coding RNA, 97 nt
Organism: Paramuricea clavata
Lineage: Eukaryota; Metazoa; Cnidaria; Anthozoa; Malacalcyonacea; Plexauridae
Source: the annotation of a GenBank genome assembly
GUUUGUGGAAACACCACGUAAAUUUAUUACUGCAAAGCUUUCGGAUCGAAAGCUUUGCAGUAAUAAAUUUACGUGGUGUUUCCACAAACAAAAACAA